AGCGGUUCUUCCAGCUAAGCGGCACCCUCGCACUGAGCUGAGCCCGAGAGCAGCGCCCGGGAUCCGCUCCGCCCGCCUUACCCACACACUGCUCUGAUCCCUGCAGCAGAGGACACACUGGCCCUGAACGUAUGGCUGGACAGACUUGAGACACUUACAUAGGCACAGAGAGAGCACAGUAGCACAGAUCUUCAGGACUGACAGAAGAAAGGAUCUAGAACAGUGGGUCAGAAGUAGACAGGGACAACCAGAAGUAGACCACAGCAUAGCAGGUAAGUCACUAUUUCAAAGCACAAGGAAAAAAAGCUUGAAUUUUUAGAGCCCAUUUCCUCCAGAGCCUGCAGCACCGUCCAAGGUUCUGAAAAAACUGUGAAACCCACUGGCCAUUGCGGGCGACGGAGGAACGACACGCCCAGACGGACUCAAUGUGGGUGAUAGAGCAUCAUAUAUCGUAUCCUUUAUUAGUCCAGGGUA
This is a long non-coding RNA of Tyto alba (common barn owl), 474 nucleotides long. RefSeq lists it as uncharacterized. The transcript is spliced from 3 exons. Lineage: Eukaryota; Metazoa; Chordata; Aves; Strigiformes; Tytonidae. The record is from RefSeq and is a predicted model, not a curated record.